This 1097-nucleotide long non-coding RNA is filed under the name Numida meleagris (helmeted guineafowl). RNAcentral's name for it is "lncRNA (ENSNMEG00000020951.1)". Lineage: Eukaryota; Metazoa; Chordata; Aves; Galliformes; Numididae. The record is from RNAcentral.
GUGUGGACUCCUGGGGAAUAACGCCAGCUGCAGGCCUCCAGCUAGACUCUGCACCACUGAUCACAACACUCUGAGGCCUACCACUCACCCACUGCCGAAUCCACCUCAUCGUCCACUCACCCAGCCCACGCUUUACACACUUGUCUGUGAGGAUAUCAUGGGAGACAGCAUCAAAAGCCUUGCUGAAGUCCAUGUAGACAACAUCCACUGCUCUUCCCUUAUCUAUUCAGCCUGCUGUCCCACCAUAGAAGGCAACUGGGAUGGUCAAGAAUGAUUUCCUCCUGGUGAACCCAUGCUGACUACUUCCGAUCACCUUCUGGUCUUCCACAAGCAGUUAUCUCCUCCAGGUCCAGGCAAAAAAGCUACACUUUCAGCAUCUCAGUGUCAAAGUAGGCCCAGCUUUCAGCUGCUGUUAGCUUCAUUAUCUUCCGUAUGAGAGUUCUCCAAAUAUGAAAAGAAGUCCCAAAAUUAUGUUGUUGAACUCCAAGCAUGGCAGAGCCCUGUGGAAGAGAACAUGAGUGAACGGAAAGAUAUUUAAGGAAGCGUUCUUCAUUUAGAAACUAAUAAUAAUCAUAAAACACCAUAUUUUUCUUCAUUUUCUGUGUUUCUAUCAGUCUUACACAGAACUUUGCCGUGGUGCUAUCAAAUAUCAAAGCUAGAGUUAACUGAGCUGAAUUUCAGACGUAUCAUGCCCAAGUAACUAGUCAAAGCACUGUCCAUUAUACUCAGUGAGAAUAAUUCUGAUGCCCUUUCUCUGUCAAGGGAACAUGGACACUUGCUUCAUAGCAUCCACAGUGCAUGUCCCAGGGCUUAAUGAAAGAAGGUAGGACUCAGAAUUUUGGAUUAUUUAAAAAUACAUAGAAUACAUAUUGAAGUAUAGAUAGCUAUCUAUCAAAUAUAUAAAGUUUGAUCUAGGUCUUACCUGGAUCCAUUUAUUUUCGUUUCUUUGAUUUCUCUAAAAUUGGAAGCUACAUAAAUCUCAGAAGACAGUUGUUCUUCUAUGGACUCUGAAGAACAUCCAGUUUCAUUUAGAGGUAUAAAUUUUGGUGGGGAAGAAUAUACAAGGCAAUAAAAUAUUGUGCGUGAUUAUAAGCUCA